UGGGGGAUAACGCACCGAAAGGGUGCUGAUACCGCAUAAUCUCUACGGAGAAAAGCAGGGGAUCGCAAGACCUUGCGCUUUUGGAGCGGCCGAUGUCUGAUUAGCUAGUUGGUGAGGUAAAGGCUUACCAAGGCUUCGAUCAGUAGCUGGUCUGAGAGGACGACCAGCCACACUGGGACUGAGACACGGCCCAGACCCCUACGGGAGGCAGCAGUGGGGAAUUUUGGACAAUGGGGGAAACCCUGAUCCAGCCAUGCCGCGUGAGUGAAGAAGGCCUUCGGGUUGUAAAGCUCUUUCAGCCGGAACGAAACGGUCACGGUUAAUACCCGUGAUCACUGACGGUACCGGAAGAAGAAGCACCGGCUAACUACGUGCCAGCAGCCGCGGUAAUACGUAGGGUGCGAGCGUUAAUCGGAAUUACUGGCCGUAAAGCGUGCGCAGGCGGUUUUGUAAGUCAGAUGUGAAAUCCCCGGGCUCAACCUGGGAACUGCGUUUGAAACUACAAGGCUAGAGUGUAGCAGAGGGGGGGUGGAAUUCCACGUGUAGCAGUGAAAUGCGUARAGAUGUGGAGGAACACCRAUGGCGAAGGCAGCCCCCUGGGUUAACACUGACGCUCAGGCACGAAAGCGUGGGGAGCAAACAGGAUUAGAUACCCUGGUAGUCCACGCCCUAAACGAUGUCAACUAGUUGUCGGGUCUUAACGGGCUUGGUAACGCAGCUAACGCGUGAAGUUGACCGCCUGGGGAGUACGGUCGCAAGAUUAAAACUCAAAGGAAUUGACGGGGACCCGCACAAGCGGUGGAUWAUGUGGAUUAAUUCGAUGCAACGCGAAAAACCUUACCUACCCUUGACAUGUACCRAAGUCCGCURARAGGUGGAUGUGCCCRAAAGGGAACGGUAACACAGGUGCUGCAUGGCUGUCGUCAGCUCGUGUCGUGAGAUGUUGGGUUAAGUCCCGCAACGAGCGCAGCCCUUGUCAUUAAUUGCCAUCAUUCAGUUGGGCACUUUAAUGAGACUGCCGGUGACAAACCGGAGGAAGGUGGGGAUGACGUCAAGUCCUCAUGGCCCUUAUGGGUAGGGCUUCACACGUAAUACAAUCGCG
Molecule: ribosomal RNA, 1102 nt
Filed under: uncultured Nitrosospira sp.
Lineage: Bacteria; Pseudomonadati; Pseudomonadota; Betaproteobacteria; Nitrosomonadales; Nitrosomonadaceae
Description: bacterial SSU rRNA
Rfam family: Bacterial small subunit ribosomal RNA
Source: RNAcentral